RNAcentral lists this transfer RNA (73 nucleotides) under Bacillus halotolerans. Its description in RNAcentral is "tRNA-Ala". It matches the Rfam family "tRNA". From Rfam's summary of the family: Transfer RNA (tRNA) molecules are approximately 80 nucleotides in length. Their secondary structure includes four short double-helical elements and three loops (D, anti-codon, and T loops). The record is from RNAcentral. Lineage: Bacteria; Bacillati; Bacillota; Bacilli; Caryophanales; Bacillaceae.
GGGGCCAUAGGUCAGCUGGGAGAGCGCUACGCUGGCAGCGUAGAGGUCAGGGGUUCGAGCCCCCUUGGCUCCA